GCUCCCUGUGUGGUCAUGCGGUUCAUGAGCCGGGACUGAAGCUCAGGCCAGCCUGACCCCAGGGCUGACGUGCACCGGGAUUGUGGGGAGUUUCCAGAAAACCGGUUCCUGAGAAGAAGCCAGCUCAGCCUCUGGCAGCCUGCUCAGCACAGAGGAGUCACUCAGUAGAUAUUUGCUGAAUGAGUAAGCUGUGGUUCAUUAUGGGGACCUGGGAGACUGGAAGGCUUGGCUCUACUGUGCCCCUGCAGUAACAAUCCAGGAGGCAGGAGCUGAACCAGUUUACAGGGAAAGAUGGAAAAACUCACCCACUAUGGAUCUGAGAAGAGCUGAGAAGGUUUAAAACGUUGACUUUGCUAUCUGGAGGAAGAACAUUUCAUGUAGAGGGAGCAGCAAGCGUGAAGGCCCUGAGAAGAGGAUGUGCCAGCUUGUGCAAGGAACCGCAGAGGCCAGAGUAUGCCUCCUGGACACCUGGCCCUGGGACGGACGUACGGACGAGCAGGAAAAAACCAGGACACCAUUUAUAAAGAAGUAACUCCAGUAAAGGCAGCACUUCAGUGUUGAGUACAGAGAGCUCUGGAAAGUUCGCUGUUCAGUCCUGACUGAGUCCCAUGGGAACAUCCUCAGUUUUACAUGUUUCUAUUUUAGGGCUUUUUUCUCAAAUUAAUCAAAGUUAUGAAAACAUAUUUACUCUUUGAUGAUUACUAUUUUAAAAGAUUAUCUGCAUCUUGGGAGGGAGAAUGACGUAGAAGUAGUUCGGACUUUGGAAGUUAGAGCGAGGUAAAAAAAUCUAGGUUUUCCCCUUAAUUAACUAUGUAAUAAGCAAUAGUCACGUCAGCUUCAGUUUCCAAAUCUGUAUAACACCUGCCCCGUAAGGUUAUUUUGAAGAUUAAAUAAGAAAAUGUAAACAAAAUUCUUAUUAAAUGACCUGGCAUAUUGCA
Molecule: long non-coding RNA, 938 nt
Organism: Cynocephalus volans (Philippine flying lemur)
Lineage: Eukaryota; Metazoa; Chordata; Mammalia; Dermoptera; Cynocephalidae
Exons: 3
Source: RefSeq, a predicted model, not a curated record